RNAcentral lists this ribosomal RNA (443 nucleotides) under uncultured bacterium. RNAcentral's name for it is "partial 16S ribosomal RNA". It matches the Rfam family "Bacterial small subunit ribosomal RNA", at positions 338 to 795 of the family's 1533-position model. The record is from RNAcentral.
CCUACGGGUGGCAGCAGUGGGGAAUAUUGGGCAAUGGUCGCAAGCCUGACCCAGCAACGCCGCGUGAAGGAAGAAGGCUUUCGGGUUGUAAACUUCUUUUCUCAGGGACGAAGCAAGUGACGGUACCUGAGGAAUAAGCCACGGCGAACUACGUGCCAGCAGCCGCGGGAAUACGUAGGUGGCAAGCGUUAUCCGGAUUUACUGGGUGUAAAGGGCGGGUAGGCGGGACUGCAAGUCAGAUGGGAAAACCACGGGUUCAACCUGUGGCCUGGCUUUGAAACUGUAGUUCUUGAGUACUGGAGAGGCAGACGGAAUGCCUGGUGUAGCGGUGAAAUGCGUAGAUAUCAGGAGGAACACCAGUGGCGAAGGCGGUCUGCUGGACAGCAACUGACGCUGAGGCGCGAAAGCGUGGGGAGCGAACAGGAUUAGAUACCCGGGUAGUC